Molecule: ribosomal RNA, 497 nt
Filed under: uncultured bacterium
Lineage: Bacteria
Description: partial 16S ribosomal RNA
Rfam family: Bacterial small subunit ribosomal RNA
Source: RNAcentral
GACGAACGCUGGCGGCGUGCCUAAUACAUGCAAGUUGAGCGAUGAAGAUUGGUGCUUGCACCAAUUUGAAGAGCAGCGAACGGGUGAGUAACGCGUGGGGAAUCUGCCUUUGAGCGGGGGACAACAUUUGGAAACGAAUGCUAAUACCGCAUAACAACUUUAAACAUAAGUUUUAAGUUUGAAAGAUGCAAUUGCAUCACUCAAAGAUGAUCCCGCGUUGUAUUAGCUAGUUGGUGAGGUAAAGGCUCACCAAGGCGAUGAUACAUAGCCGACCUGAGAGGGUGGUCUGCCACAUUGGGACUGAGACACGGCCCAAACUCCUACGGGGGGCAGCAGUAGGGAAUCUUCGGCAAUGGACGAAAGUCUGGCCGGGCAACGCCGCGUGAGUGAAGAAGGUUUUCGGAUCGUAAAACUCUGUUGGUAGAGAAGAACGUUGGUGAGAGUGGAAAGCUCAUCAAGUGACGGUAACUACCCAGAAAGGGACGGCUAACUACGUG